UCCUGCCAGGGCUCUGCCCCACUGCCCAGGCUCUGUCCAGCCCUGUGACCAUCCUGACACCUGUCUGUCCAUCUGUCUGUCUGCACGGCUGGGCAGUUCUGCACGUCCAAUGAGCUGGAGUACCUGGUGGGGCGUGUCUGGAUCGGCUUUUGGCUCAUCCUCAUUGUGCUGGUCAUGGUGGCCUUUGAGGGCAGCUUCCUGGUGCGUUUCGUCUCCCGCUUCACCCAGGAGAUCUUUGCCUUUCUCAUCUCCCUCAUCUUCAUCUACGAGACCUUUUCCAAGCUGGCCAAGAUCUUCCAGGAGCACCCUCUGCAUGGCUGCCUGAGCAUCAACAGCUCGGCCGAGGCCUGGGGCAAUGGCACUGUGGCCAUGGCCAACACCACAGCCCUGGCCAACAGCCCGGCUGCCCGCGGUGCCACCAAGGUCACGGGGCAGCCCAACACGGCGCUGCUCUCACUCGUGCUCAUGGCUGGCACCUUCUUCAUCGCCUUCUUCCUGCGCAAGUUCAAGAACAGCCGCUUCUUCCCCGGACGGAUCCGGAGGCUCAUCGGGGACUUUGGGGUGCCCAUUGCCAUCCUGGUGAUGGUGCUGGUGGACUACAGCAUCCAGGACACCUACACACAGAAGCUGAGUGUGCCCAGUGGGUUCUCGGUGACAGCCCCAGACAAGCGGGGUUGGGUGAUCAACCCGCUGGGUGUGCACAGUGCCUUCCCCGUGUGGAUGAUGGUGGCCAGCGGCCUCCCCGCCAUCCUUGUCUUCAUCCUCAUCUUCAUGGAGACCCAGAUCACCACGCUGAUCAUCAGCAAGAAGGAGCGGANUGCCACGGCCCCUGGCCUGCCUGUGCCCUGUAAGGGCCCUGACCCUGUCCCCCACUCUGCCCCACAGAGGGAGGUCCUCACCCCCACACCCCCGGCCGGCAUCACUCGCUCCAAGUCAAAGCACGAGCUGAAGCUGCUGGAGAAGAUCCCGGACAACGCUGAGGCCACAGUGGUGCUCGUGGGCUGUGUGGAGUUCCUGGACCAGCCCACCAUGGCCUUUGUGCGGCUGCAGGAGGCUGUGGAGCUGGACGCAGUGCUGGAGGUGCCCGUGCCUGUGCGGUUCCUCUUCGUGCUGCUGGGCCCCAGCAGCACCCACAUGGACUAUCACGAGAUUGGGCGCUCCAUCUCCACACUCAUGUCUGACAAGCAAUUCCAUGAGGCUGCCUACCUGGCCGACGACCGUCACGACCUUCUGAAUGCCAUCAACGAGUUCCUGGACUGCAGCGUGGUGCUGCCGCCCUCCGAGGUGCAGGGCGAGGAGCUGCUGCGCAGUGUCGCCCACUUCCAGCGCGAGAUGCUGAAGAAGAGGAUGGAGCAGGAGCGGAGGCUGCUGCUGGAGCCCAAGUCCCCUGAGGAGAAAGGUGCCAGGGCUGGGGCCAGGGCGGGGUUUGGGGUGUGCCAGCUGUUGGGGUCUCACUGUCUGUCUGUGCAUCCGCUCGCCCCCAGCUCUGCUGAAGCUGAAGGUGGUGGAGGACGAGGCCGAGGAGGACGACGACCCCCUGAGGCGCACGGGCC
Molecule: long non-coding RNA, 1553 nt
Organism: Zonotrichia albicollis (white-throated sparrow)
Lineage: Eukaryota; Metazoa; Chordata; Aves; Passeriformes; Passerellidae
Source: Ensembl